Molecule: long non-coding RNA, 890 nt
Filed under: Pogona vitticeps (central bearded dragon)
Lineage: Eukaryota; Metazoa; Chordata; Lepidosauria; Squamata; Agamidae
Description: lncRNA (ENSPVIG00000000432.1)
Source: RNAcentral
GGCCCCCAUCUUUUAUUCAUAGCGUCUCUCAUGGUGCUGGAAGGCAGACUGUGUUGCCAUAGCAAUGCCCUGCAUAUCCCUGUGGAUAGCUUACAAUUUUACUUUUUUAAAAAAAUCCAACAACAAAAAGCCAUUGAUAACACAUGUUGCCAAAGGUUACAGAAGUUGAAUGCUAAAAUGGAAAUAUUUCUCCUUUAUAGAGUUGCACUGUGGAUGCAUCCUGCAAAUUCAAAGAAACAGGAUGCACUGCCUCUACAUAUGGAAUUGGCCUCUCCUAUAAUGAGACCUUUAAAGGCACUUUCCUGCAAUCCCAUCCUUUUUCCUUAGGAAUCUUCUCUGCUAAGAAAGAAGAAGAAAAGGUAAAAACAUGGAAAGACUGUAAACUGAAGAAGUCAUUGUCUGGACUUCCUCUAAAGUGCCAUGAAUGAAAAAAAUGCAUUUGCACAGUAAAGGCCUGGCCUGGAAUUAGGCUUGAUGGCAACAUGUUAUCACCAGGAUCAAAGGCAGUAUAUUUCUGAAUAUCACUUGCUUUGGAUCAACAGUGGAAUGGAAUGUUGUCCUUGAGUUCUGUUUGUGGCUUGCCUUCCAUUUUGUGUAAAAUUGAUGUUGGCCACUGAGGAAAAAGGGAUGUUGGACUAGAUCAUGGUUGGUGUGACCCAACAGAGCCUUCCCCCAACACGACCUUAUAUUUUUAUUGUUUUCUCUGACAACUGGAACCUCAUUCAUUCAAUCUUUAUUAUGGUUAUUGAUCAGCGUAAUGAGGAUGGGUUACAAACAGUUGAUAUGCCCAUUACAAACUUGAUUUAAGCCAUAACCCAAAUUGAACAUCAAUCUAAAAUUUAACAAGUAACCUUACAUUGAUUCUAAUAAAACCAAAAUAUAAGAAUCCA